RNAcentral lists this ribosomal RNA (456 nucleotides) under uncultured bacterium. Its description in RNAcentral is "bacterial SSU rRNA". It matches the Rfam family "Bacterial small subunit ribosomal RNA", at positions 340 to 786 of the family's 1533-position model. The record is from RNAcentral.
UACGGAAGGCAGCAGUGGGGAAUAUUGCACAAUGGGCGCAAGCCUGAUGCAGCCAUGCCGCGUGUAUGAAGAAGGCCUUCGGGUUGUAAAGUACUUUCAGCGGGGAGGAAGGCGAUGUGGUUAAUAACCGCGUCGAUUGACGUUACCCGCAGAAGAAGCACCGGCUAACUCCGUGCCAGCAGCCGCGGUAAUACGGAGGGUGCAAGCGUUAAUCGGAAUUACUGGGCGUAAAGCGCACGCAGGCGGUCUGUUAAGUCAGAUGUGAAAUCCCCGGGCUUAACCUGGGAACUGCAUUUUGAAACUGGCAGGCUUGAGUCUCGUAGAGGGGGUAGAAUUCCAGGUGUAGCGGUGAAAUGCGUAGAGAUCUGGAGGAAUACCGGUGGCGAAGGCGGCCCCUGGGACGAAGACUGACGCUCAGGUGCGAAAGCGUGGGGAGCAAACGAGGAUUAGGAUACC